UGUGAAACGCCAACAACAGGAGAAAAGAACGAGUAGUAUACGUAAGUCAUUAAUUCGAUCAUGGAGAUGAACAGUUCAAGGAGAUCAAGAGGGUUCAAGAUAGCUAAGCUACUGCCCUUUUGCAAAGCUCUCAAGCCUCCAACUGCCUCCCAAGACCUUUACAAUAAUGUUCACUACACUUCCUCCACCACAACUUCCUACGCUCCUCAACCUGAUUUCAAUAACUACGUAACUCCUCUUCCUCCUAAAGUUAGCUUCCUCCUUCAACCAUCCGUGGCUCAUGAGGGGGAGGAUAUGGACAAGAAGCUUAACAAGAUGAGAGAAAAGCUGAUCGGCAGAGGGAUUAAUGGUAUGGAAGAUUGUGUUGACGCUAGAGCCGCUUCUUAUAUAUCUUCGGUUCGAGAAAGGUUCAAGCUGGACCAUUGUGAGAGACUGACGACGACUGUUGUUAGCUUAGAUCAUGAAGAUGUUGACCGUUAGAAUUUAGGUGACCUAUAAAUCUGUCAGAACACGUCAGAAAAAAAAACACUCGCCACAAAAGCUUAAAGCCAAUCGUCAAGUUAAAUACAAGUUUCGUUGGGUGGUUAUGACAGCCUUUUUAGGUUUUUACUGAUUUAAAGAGGGAAAAUUGAAACUUUAGUUCAUACGAGAUAUGAAGCAAUCAGAUUUGUGUACGUGAAUUAUGGGGGAAAGCAGAACACGUCAUUUGUUAUUUGCUGAAUAAAAAUAAAUAAUAAGAGGAAUUGGUCAAACCACUAAUUUGAUUGUAAUUAGCGAUGUGUUGACUCAUUAAUACAUACACUUCAAGGUUCA
Molecule: RNA transcript, 813 nt
Organism: Brassica rapa (field mustard)
Lineage: Eukaryota; Viridiplantae; Streptophyta; Magnoliopsida; Brassicales; Brassicaceae
Source: RefSeq, a predicted model, not a curated record